This 500-nucleotide ribosomal RNA is filed under the name uncultured Phyllobacterium clone MT17. Its description in RNAcentral is "bacterial SSU rRNA". It matches the Rfam family "Bacterial small subunit ribosomal RNA", at positions 28 to 576 of the family's 1533-position model. The record is from RNAcentral. Lineage: Bacteria; Pseudomonadati; Pseudomonadota; Alphaproteobacteria; Hyphomicrobiales; Phyllobacteriaceae.
AACGAACGCUAGCGGCAGGCUUAACACAUGCAAGUCGAGCGCCCCGCAAGGGGAGCGGCAGACGGGUGAGUAACGCGUGGGAAUCUACCCAUCUCUACGGAAUAACGCAUGGAAACGUGUGCUAAUACCGUAUACGUCCUUCGGGAGAAAGAUUUAUCGGAGAUGGAUGAGCCCGCGUUGGAUUAGCUAGUUGGUGGGGUAAAGGCCUACCAAGGCGACGACCCAUAGCUGGUCUGAGAGGAUGAUCAGCCACACUGGGACUGAGACACGGCCCAGACUCCUACGGGAGGCAGCAGUGGGGAAUAUUGGACAAUGGGCGCAAGCCUGAUCCAGCCAUGCCGCGUGAGUGAUGGAGGCCCUAGGGUUGUAAAGCUCUUUCACCGGUGAAGAUAAUGACGGUAACCGGAGAAGAAGCCCCGGCUAACUUCGUGCCAGCAGCCGCGGUAAUACGAAGGGGGCUAGCGUUGUUCGGAUUUACUGGGCGUAAAGCGCACGUAGGC